RNAcentral lists this transfer RNA (60 nucleotides) under Cornu aspersum (brown garden snail). RNAcentral describes it as "Helix aspersa (brown garden snail) tRNA-Gln". The record is from RNAcentral. Lineage: Eukaryota; Metazoa; Mollusca; Gastropoda; Stylommatophora; Helicidae.
UUUCUAUGGGUGUUAGUGCACGGAAAAAUUUGGUUUUUCAAGAACAAUUGUAUAGAAAAC